CUACGGGCUGCUGCAGUGAGGAAUAUUGCACAAUGGGGGGAACCCUGAUGCAGCAACGCCGCGUGGAGGAUGACGCAUUUCGGUGUGUAAACUCCUUUUAUAUGUCAAGAAAAUGACGGUAGCAUAUGAAUAAGCACCGGCUAACUCCGUGCCAGCAGCCGCGGUAAUACGGAGGGUGCAAGCGUUACUCGGAAUCACUGGGCGUAAAGGACGCGUAGGCGGGUUGGAAAGUCAGGUGUGAAAUCCUACAGCUUAACUGUAGAACUGCAAUUGAAACUUCUAAUCUAGAGUAUGGGAGGGGGAGAGGGAAUUAGUGGUGUAGGGGUAAAAUCCGUAGAUAUCACUAGGAAUACCUAAAGCGAAGGCGAUCUCCUGGAACAUUACUGACGCUAAGGCGUGAAAGCGUGGGGAGCAAACAGGAUUAGAUACCCUCGUAGUC
Molecule: ribosomal RNA, 439 nt
Filed under: uncultured bacterium
Lineage: Bacteria
Description: partial 16S ribosomal RNA
Rfam family: Bacterial small subunit ribosomal RNA
Source: RNAcentral